UCUGAGUAAUCUCCUUGUU
RNAcentral lists this small nuclear RNA (19 nucleotides) under Arabidopsis thaliana (thale cress). RNAcentral describes it as "snRNA_16570". The record is from RNAcentral. Lineage: Eukaryota; Viridiplantae; Streptophyta; Magnoliopsida; Brassicales; Brassicaceae.